RNAcentral lists this ribosomal RNA (379 nucleotides) under uncultured marine eukaryote. RNAcentral describes it as "SSU rRNA". It matches the Rfam family "Eukaryotic small subunit ribosomal RNA", at positions 618 to 998 of the family's 1831-position model. The record is from RNAcentral.
GUUAAAAAGCUCGUAGUUGGAUUUCUGUGUUGGUGAGGCGGCCGGCCACUCGUGGUUGUAGCUAGUUAUCACCGACGCAUCUUGUCACAAUCCUGUCUGGCCUUCACUGGUUGGAUAUGGGGACUGACUCGUUUACUUUGAGAAAAUUAGAGUGUUCAAAGCAGGCUAUCGCCUUGAAUAUAUUAGCAUGGAAUAAUGAUAUAGGACUUUGGUUCUAUUUUGUUGGUUGUUCGAGAACCGAAGUAAUGAUUGAUAGGGACAGUUGGGGGCAUCAGUAUUCUGAAGCGAGAGGUGAAAUUCUUGGACCUUCGGAAGACUAACAGCUGCGAAAGCGUUUGCCUAGGAUGUUCUCUUUAAUCAAGAACGAAAGUUGGGGGAU